UACGGGGGGGGCAAGCGUUGUUCGGAAUCACUGGGCGUAAAGGGAGUCUAGGCGGGUCUUUAAGUCAGGGGUGAAAUCCUGGAGCUCAACUCCAGAACUGCCUUUGAUACUGAAGAUCUUGAGUUCGGGAGAGGUGAGUGGAACUGCGAGUGUAGAGGUGAAAUUCGUAGAUAUUCGCAAGAACACCAGUGGCGAAGGCGGCUCACUGGCCCGAUACUGACGCUGAGGCACGAAAGCGUGGGGAGCAAACAGG
This 253-nucleotide ribosomal RNA is filed under the name uncultured bacterium. RNAcentral describes it as "partial 16S ribosomal RNA". It matches the Rfam family "Bacterial small subunit ribosomal RNA", at positions 524 to 776 of the family's 1533-position model. The record is from RNAcentral.